GUUGUAUUGUGAUGAGAAAUCUUCAUAUUUAAACAGUUAUCCCUGUCUUAAUAAACCAUGUCGAGGAUCUUUUAUUCUGAAAUCAAC
This 87-nucleotide small nucleolar RNA is filed under the name Yamadazyma tenuis ATCC 10573. RNAcentral's name for it is "Candida tenuis ATCC 10573 Small nucleolar RNA R38". It matches the Rfam family "Small nucleolar RNA R38". Rfam says of the family: snoR38 is a C/D box small nucleolar RNA conserved across yeast, human, Arabidopsis and rice. It is encoded in the intron of elongation factor-1 gamma in both pombe and cerevisiae. snoR38 guides the methylation of 2'-O-ribose sites in 28S rRNA. Lineage: Eukaryota; Fungi; Ascomycota; Pichiomycetes; Serinales; Debaryomycetaceae. The record is from Rfam by way of RNAcentral.